This 104-nucleotide ribosomal RNA is filed under the name Chinchilla lanigera (long-tailed chinchilla). Lineage: Eukaryota; Metazoa; Chordata; Mammalia; Rodentia; Chinchillidae. The record is from RNAcentral.
CUCUAUGGCCAUACCCUCUUCAAAGCACCUGAUCUCGGAAGCUAAGCAAGGUUGGGCCAGGUUGGUACUUGGAUGGGAGAACAGCGGGGAAUUCACCAAUGAGC